CAACUUUUGGAUAUUAUAUGAAAAGAAAAUAUAUAUUAUUAUAUAGGCUGUUUCUAGAUGGAGUGUAUACCCAUGUCAGACAUUUUGUUUAAAAAAAUAUACAGCUUCUCAAAGUAUAUAACAAUUCCGAUAAAUGCAAAGCUCUGAAAGGCAAAUGUGAAUCUUUAUCUAGGGUAGAUCACAGAGCAGGAUUAAACAUAGGGUGUCCUUAGGCAGCCAUCUAGGCCCCAAGAUUUAUGCAGGCCUCGAAACCAUGAAUUUGCUAUGCACAACUGCCAUCCUUAUGUGACAAAUGAACAGGGGGCAUAGUCUACAACAGUCUGAAUCCUUCAGUAUUCACCCACCUAGGCCGAAGGCCGUGAGGAGAUUCCCUCCGACGCAUUGUCCACACAGAUGGAAGACUAUCUGCCAUAGGCAGCUACAAGGUCUUCUGUUUCUAACAGAACUUGGACUCUCAGUAGCCCCGAGUCUGGUUUACAGAUGCCAGCCGUUGUAGGGGCUUGGGGGAGGAAGUUGACCAUGCCUGCUUCCAAUAGUGAUGCCAACUUCUUUGUCCAAAUGUGUUGCCUAUGCCAUUUCCCACUCUGUUUGUUGGUUAGGGGGGAUGUCACAUACUUGCCCAGUCCUACUGCUCCCUUUCAGUGAAUUCCUUACUUGCAAUGAAAGCUAUUUUACUACUUAAACAUUUAUUUGAUAUCUAAUGCUGUGUGUCAUUUAUUUUCUUAUUUUUAAUUUCCUUUAUGGUCUCCAUUUUCAGUUCAGUGUAUCACAGUUUUCCAAUAACGAGCUCAUGCCCCAGGGGUUUCCCUAUACAUUGGUACCUCGGUUUACGAAUUAAAUGCGUUCUCCGAGAUGUUUCUUACAACGAAAAAUUUGUAAACCGAAGCGAGGUUUCCCAUAGGAAUACAUUGAAAACCAAUUAAUCCGUUCUGGAGAUAAAAAAAUAAAUAAAAAUGAGCUGGCAUGGAAACCAACCUACAAUCUAGAACACACAGUAAAAGGCAUGCAAACGACGGAGCUCAGCUCCCUACCUUUCCACCACUUCAGAAAUGCACCCAAAAAGUCCCAAAACCCCUGCAAAAAAUUUCCAGAAUGGCUACAAAACUUGAUGAAAAAGCCGCUCCAACAACUCCAUAAUCAACGCCACAUGCUACCCACAGACUCCAGCAUGCACAGGGGCAGCGCUAUAAACCUCCCAGGCGCAAUGCAUCCUGGGGAAACUUGCUUUGUAAAAAAUUUGUAAACCG
Molecule: non-coding RNA, 1247 nt
Organism: Pelobates cultripes (western spadefoot toad)
Lineage: Eukaryota; Metazoa; Chordata; Amphibia; Anura; Pelobatidae
Source: the annotation of a GenBank genome assembly